GAUGAACGCUGGCGGCGUGCCUAAUACAUGCAAGUCGAGCGAACAGACGAGGAGCUUGCUCCUCUGACGUUAGCGGCGGACGGGUGAGUAACACGUGGAUAACCUACCUAUAAGACUGGGAUAACUUCGGGAAACCGGAGCUAAUACCGGAUAAUAUAUUGAACCGCAUGGUUCAAUAGUGAAAGACGGUUUUGCUGUCACUUAUAGAUGGAUCCCCGCCGCAUUAGCUAGUUGGUAAGGUAACGGCUUACCAAGGCAACGAUGCGUAGCCGACCUGAGAGGGUGAUCGGCCACACUGGAACUGAGACACGGUCCAGACUCCUACGGAAGGCGGCAGUAGGGAAUCUUCCGCAAUGGGCGAAAGCCUGACGGAGCAACGCCGCGUGAGUGAUGAAGGUCUUCGGAUCGUAAAACUCUGUUAUUAGGGAAGAACAAAUGUGUAAGUAACUAUGCACGUCUUGACGGUACCUAAUCAGAAAGCCACGGCUAACUACGUG
RNAcentral lists this ribosomal RNA (497 nucleotides) under uncultured bacterium. RNAcentral's name for it is "partial 16S ribosomal RNA". It matches the Rfam family "Bacterial small subunit ribosomal RNA", at positions 28 to 507 of the family's 1533-position model. The record is from RNAcentral.